UAUACAGGAAGUACCAGUACCAGAUCAAUGUGGAGUUAUAUACAGGGAGUACCAGAUCAAUGUGGAGCUAUAUACAGGAAGUACCAGUACCAGAUCAAUGUGGAGCUAUAUACAGGGAGUAACAGAUCAAUGUGGAGCUAUAUACAGGGAGUACCAGUACCAGAUCAAUGUGGAGCUAUAUACAGGGAGUGCCAGAUCAAUGUGGAGCUAUAUACAGGAAGUACCAGUACCAGAUCAAUGUGGAGCUAUAUAAAUGAAGUACCAUUACCAGAUCAAUGUGGAGUUAUAUACAGGAAGUAUCAGUACCA
Long non-coding RNA from Oncorhynchus tshawytscha (Chinook salmon), 308 nucleotides. The record is from Ensembl. Lineage: Eukaryota; Metazoa; Chordata; Actinopteri; Salmoniformes; Salmonidae.